This is a long non-coding RNA of Esox lucius (northern pike), 712 nucleotides long. NCBI's taxonomy places the organism in Eukaryota, Metazoa, Chordata, Actinopteri, Esociformes, Esocidae. The record is from Ensembl.
UAGCCACAUAUUUCGCUUUCUGAGUGAAGAUGUCCAGCCAUUUAGCGUUCAAGGAGUUCAGUGAACCUGCAUGGGAGACCCGUGGACCAGAGGAUGAUUUGACUAAGGGCCCUUGCUUGACUAAUGUAGGAACCAGAGGAGUUUCAGUAACCUGCUAGGAAAGCUGCUGCUGCUGUCGGGCUUCUCUCAGAAUAUCAAUGAUGCUCACUGCAGACACACAGACAGGGCUGUCACAUGACUCUGCCCUGAAGGCUUACCUGAGGACGACAGCGGGCCCAGUCUUACCUCAGAAAUUAUCGGGGGAGAUCAUUUAUAAUACACAACUGGUGUAUCCAACAUGCCUCCAGUAGGAAAAGAGGGCAGGACAAUCAUCCACCGGGACAUUCAUCCACCAGGACAUUCAUCCACCAGUACAUUCAUCCACCGGGACAUUCAUCCACCAGGACAUUCAUCCACAAGGACAUUCAUCCACCGAGACAUGAAUCCACCGGGACAUUCAUCCACCAGGACAUUCAUCCAAAAGGACAUUCAUCCAAAAGGACAUUCAUCCACCGAGACAUAAAUCCACCGGGACAUUCAUCCACCGAGACAUUCAUCCACAAGGACAUUCAUCCACAAGGACAUUCAUCCACCGGGACAUUCAUCCACCGGGACAUUAAUCCACAAGGACAUUCAUCCACCUGCACAUUCAUCCACCUGGACAUUCAUCCAC